Molecule: long non-coding RNA, 1046 nt
Filed under: Gopherus agassizii (Agassiz's desert tortoise)
Lineage: Eukaryota; Metazoa; Chordata; Testudines; Testudinidae
Description: lncRNA (ENSGAGG00000008704.1)
Source: RNAcentral
AGACUUCCGCUGGAUUUGGUGACCUCAAAUAUCCCCCAAAUGCAGAAUGAGGUGCCCACGCCGGGGACAAGCAAAACGUCUGCAGCGCGUCGAGAAAAUGAGACGAAGCCGCUCUCCAAAGCCCGCCGCACUCUCAACUGAACGGGAACCCUCCUGCCAUGUCGUGGAGAACUCUCCCCUCGUCCCAUUCCGGCCUGCGCCUCGUCCUAAUGCUAGUGCUCGCUCUUUGGAAAUAGAGUAAUGCCCCCGCCCCUCCGUGUGCACCGACCGCAGACACCCUGGGCAGCCAGCAGAACCCCCUUUGUGGCGUAGAUUAAAAACACCCUUGACUAGUCAAUAACACCACGAUUUUUACUUGUGAGCUGCCCUGUCUCUCAGCUGCUUUGCCUGAUGUUUCCUAGGAUUGGGUUGUUUGCUGAAGCCCCAGUCACGUGUCCAGGAUACCACCGUGCUGGGCGCUGGACGGACACAGAAUGAAAAGCCAAGCCCUGCCCCAUGCCUAGGAACACUCCUUUGCAGAGGGAAAUGUUCUCCAGGUGGGAGCAGGGGUAUUAAGGCUCGUGCUUCAGGGCUUACUCUGAUUCCUAACUAUAAAAGACCAGGUUUGUGCUAUGCAAGGCAUCAAUGCAGUUCAGGGUUCCUAUGCCUUCCUCUCUAGCCUCUGGCGCUGGUCACUGCCAGAGACAGGAUACUGGGCGAGGUGGCCCACAAGUCUGAUCCAGCCCCGCAAUUCCUAUGCUCCUCGGCACAGAGAGGUCAGGUGAUUUGCCCAAAGUCCAGUGAGGAGCAGAGCUGGGAAUAGAAUCCGGAUGUCCUAAUGCCCAAUCCUGGGCUUGAAACUCAAGCCUGGCCUUUCUCCCUUCUCCCAUGUCUUAGUAACUAGGUACCUUCCCUAGCUUCUUGCAAUGUUGCCCAUCAAUGUGGUAUCCCAGCCUCGGAGGUAACAAGCAAAAAAUCCCGCUUGGUUACUCUAGAGAGCUGGGCAGAACGUUUGCAAUUAAACUUUUUUUUUUCUUGUCAAAAUCUGCUGUUGAAACCGUGUGGCG